UACCAUGCUGAAUAUACCGGUUCCCGUUAGAUCACCGAAGUUAAGCAUCAUUGGGCGCGGUCAGUACUUGGGUGGGUGACCACCUGGGAACACUGCGUGCCGUU
This 104-nucleotide ribosomal RNA is filed under the name Caerostris darwini. The record is from RNAcentral. Lineage: Eukaryota; Metazoa; Arthropoda; Arachnida; Araneae; Araneidae.